GGAAGAGCCCAAACCAACAAGCUUGCUUGUUGGGGUUGUAGGACACUCUAUACGGAGUUACAAAGGACGACAUUAGACGAAUCAUCUGGAAAGAUGAAUCAAAGAAGGUAAUAAUCCUGUAGUCGAAAAUGUUGUCUCUCUUGAGUGGAUCCUGAGUACGACGGAGCACGUGAAAUUCCGUCGGAAUCUGGGAGGACCAUCUCCUAAGGCUAAAUACUCUCUAGUGACCGAUAGUGAACCAGUACCGUGAGGGAAAGGUGAAAAGCACCCCGGAAGGGGAGUGAAAUAGAACCUGAAACCGUGUGCUUACAAGUAGUCAGAGCCCGUUAAUGGGUGAUGGCGUGCCUUUUGUAGAAUGAACCGGCGAGUUACGAUUUGAUGCAAGGUUAAGCAGUAAAUGUGGAGCCGUAGCGAAAGCGAGUCUGAAUAGGGCGUUUAGUAUUUGGUCGUAGACCCGAAACCAGGUGAUCUACCCUUGGUCAGGUUGAAGUUCAGGUAACACUGAAUGGAGGACCGAACCGACUUACGUUGAAAAGUGAGCGGAUGAACUGAGGGUAGCGGAGAAAUUCCAAUCGAACCUGGAGAUAGCUGGUUCUCUCCGAAAUAGCUUUAGGGCUAGCCUCAAGUGAUGAUUAUUGGAGGUAGAGCACUGUUUGGACGAGGGGCCCCUCUCGGGUUACCGAAUUCAGACAAACUCCGAAUGCCAAUUAAUUUAACUUGGGAGUCAGAACAUGGGUGAUAAGGUCCGUGUUCGAAAGGGAAACAGCCCAGACCACCAGCUAAGGUCCCAAAAUAUAUGUUAAGUGGAAAAGGAUGUGGCGUUGCCCAGACAACUAGGAUGUUGGCUUAGAAGCAGCCAUCAUUUAAAGAGUGCGUAAUAGCUCACUAGUCGAGUGACACUGCGCCGAAAAUGUACCGGGGCUAAACAUAUUACCGAAGCUGUGGAUUGUCCUUUGGACAAUGGUAGGAGAGCGUUCUAAGGGCGUUGAAGCAUGAUCGUAAGGACAUGUGGAGCGCUUAGAAGUGAGAAUGCCGGUGUGAGUAGCGAAAGACGGGUGAGAAUCCCGUCCACCGAUUGACUAAGGUUUCCAGAGGAAGGCUCGUCCGCUCUGGGUUAGUCGGGUCCUAAGCUGAGGCCGACAGGCGUAGGCGAUGGAUAACAGGUUGAUAUUCCUGUACCACCUAUAAUCGUUUUAAUCGAUGGGGGGACGCAGUAGGAUAGGCGAAGCGUGCGAUUGGAUUGCACGUCUAAGCAGUAAGGCUGAGUAUUAGGCAAAUCCGGUACUCGUUAAGGCUGAGCUGUGAUGGGGAGAAGACAUUGUGUCUUCGAGUCGUUGAUUU
RNAcentral lists this ribosomal RNA (1341 nucleotides) under Staphylococcus aureus. RNAcentral's name for it is "partial 23S ribosomal RNA". It matches the Rfam family "Bacterial large subunit ribosomal RNA", at positions 261 to 1600 of the family's 2925-position model. The record is from RNAcentral. Lineage: Bacteria; Bacillati; Bacillota; Bacilli; Caryophanales; Staphylococcaceae.